This 211-nucleotide long non-coding RNA is filed under the name Mytilus galloprovincialis (Mediterranean mussel). Lineage: Eukaryota; Metazoa; Mollusca; Bivalvia; Mytilida; Mytilidae. The record is from RNAcentral.
GCCAGACUUAAAUUGAAGUGUAGGCACCAAUCGGCAGGGGGUCUGGGGCCGCUUAAGGCCCCCAGUGGGUCCAGGGCAAAGCCCUGGUAGGGGGUUCAGGGUGGCGAAGCCCCCGACGGAAAACGGUUUUGAGCAUUUCUGGAUGCAAAAUUUUUGAUUUCGUUGCACAGAAAACAUUCAAUUUACUGGUUAUUUUUCUCAUGAAAUAUAC